RNAcentral lists this long non-coding RNA (736 nucleotides) under Rattus norvegicus (Norway rat). Its description in RNAcentral is "long non-coding RNA NONRATT027712". The record is from RNAcentral. Lineage: Eukaryota; Metazoa; Chordata; Mammalia; Rodentia; Muridae.
UUUUUUGAAACAGGGUUCCAUGGAGCCCAGGCUGGCCUCAUUGUAGCUGAGGAUAUCCUGCACUUCUGAUCUUCCUGUCUGUAUUUCUUCUCAUGGUAUUAUAGGCAGGCAUAACAGAGCCUGGGUUUAUGUAAUGCUAAGGACAGAACCAGGGCACCUUGACACGUGAGCCGCAGACCUGGCCCCUCAAGUUAGCCCUUUCUUUGGUAGUUUUUGUUCUUUAAAGGAUUUGUCCAUUUAACCUAAAUUAUGCCAGCUCUUUUCCUGUUGCCUUAUCUGUAGUAUUGCUAGAAAUGCUACCUAAUUUUGUUGUUGAUAUUGCUAAUUCCUGUCCUGAGUAGGAGUCUAGAACCAUGCCACCAAGCCCAGCAUUUAAAAACGAGAUUUAUUUCACUUUAGUGUAUGUGUGCUUGUGUGUGUGUGUGUGCAUGUGUGUAUGUGUGUGAGUUCAUGUGUGCCAUGUGUGCCCAUGUGCACACAUGUGUAUGUUGGUUUGCACACAUGAGUGUGUGUGCAUGUGCAUUUGUGUGUGCAUGUUUGUACAUGUAUAUGCAUGUGUGUGCCCAUGUGUAUGCAUGUGUGUGAGCACAUGCAUGUGUAUGUGUGCACAUGUAUGCAUGUGUGUAUGCAUGUGUGUGUGUGUGUACACAGAUGCAACUACAUACUGAGAGCAGAGGUCAACUGAUGCUUCAUAUGGUUUGUUCAUUUUUCGUUGCUUUCAACUAAGAGGAAGAGC